Long non-coding RNA from Penaeus monodon (black tiger shrimp), 356 nucleotides. RefSeq lists it as uncharacterized. The record is from RefSeq and is a predicted model, not a curated record. The transcript is spliced from 3 exons. Lineage: Eukaryota; Metazoa; Arthropoda; Malacostraca; Decapoda; Penaeidae.
AUAAUGGUACUCAGAAGUAUAGUAAUUUCUUUUUUUCUUUUUUUUAUCACCUAAAUUAUUGUGUAUCCUUUUCUCUCUGCCGUUUACCCUGCAGAGUUACGAAGGGUUCCUGGACACGUGGAACAUCUGCUCCCUCUUCCUCGGACUGGGUAACCUGCUCGUCUGGUUCGGCUGCCUGCGCUACCUUGGCUUUUUUGAGACUUACAAUGUGCUGAUUUUGACCCUCAAGAAGUGCUUCCCAAACGUGCUGCGAUACUCCAUAUGCAUCCUGAUGGUGUUUGCUGGCUACUGCCUCUGUGGCUGGCUUGUGCUUGGACCCUACCAUCUUAAGUUCCGCUCGUUUCCAUCGACAAUGG